Molecule: ribosomal RNA, 546 nt
Filed under: Triticum aestivum (bread wheat)
Lineage: Eukaryota; Viridiplantae; Streptophyta; Magnoliopsida; Poales; Poaceae
Description: partial small subunit ribosomal RNA
Source: RNAcentral
AUGCAAAGUAAGCAUGUGAAAGUAAAUUACUUGUUACUUACCCGAGUCCGGAGCUCUCCAGGAGCAUUCGCAGAUUUGCCCUGCAGCGUGUCGGAUGCCGCGAAAUAUUACCAGGCCGAGGAGGGAAGCUCGACAGAGAAGUUGUUCUGGUCUCAGUAUACUGGGACCGAACCUCCGAUGCCUAUGAGCGACCAGCUGAAGCAACUGGUCGAGCUGCACAAGGCGGCCGAACAGGCCAUGAGAGGCCUUAUAGUCCAGAUGUGGCCUGGCGACUCCCUUCCCAACAGCUACUUCGGCCUGGUGAGGCGGCUUGCGGAUGCCUACCCACGGCUGGAGGUCAUAAAGCGGUCCGUCUGCAUCGAAGGUGCACGUCGGGCCUUUGCCCGUGCGAAGGUGCACUGGGCCAAGAUGGAUGCCGAGAAGCUGGUGAAGGAGGGGCCGCCGCAGGGCAAGGAGCAUCGCCACCCUGAGAUGUAUUAUGAGGGUGUCCUGAAGGGUGCCCGUCUUGUGGCGGACGAGUGUGCGAAGGAUGUAAUAUUUGAAUGA